This 554-nucleotide long non-coding RNA is filed under the name Capsella grandiflora. RNAcentral describes it as "long non-coding RNA (CGRA_LNC000685)". Lineage: Eukaryota; Viridiplantae; Streptophyta; Magnoliopsida; Brassicales; Brassicaceae. The record is from RNAcentral.
UUUAAUGAUUUAAUUAAAACAUAGAUAAAACGAAGAAGACUAGAAAGAUGUCAAUGAAUACCCCCAAAUAUUCCUAAUAAUUAUUCAGUUCCGAUGGCUAAAAUAUUUUAUCCAUUUUAUACACUUUAAAAAGCUGCUUUCUUCUUCUUCUUUCUCUCUCAAUCACUUUGGUCUCUUUUCUUUUUCCCGAGAGAGAGAAAAAAAAGAAAUGGGAUUGUUAAUGUCGGGAGAGAAAGUGAAGUAUGCUCUUCUCUUCAUCUUCAUCAUCUGCUUCGAUAUUUUCUUCGCAUCAAAUGCUCAAUUUUUGCCAGACGAUGAAGGUCCUUUCUCUAUCUUACUCUUUUUUUUUUUCUUUUUUUUUGGGGGUUUAAUCUAUAGUACCUUACUCUUUCUAUUACAUAUUUACAUUUCCAGUUACAAGAUUUCUUCACUGACUCGCCGAUUCAACUUUAUUUUUCGAUGAAUUAUAUAAUUAUAAUUGGAUUGUUGCUUUAUAUAGAAAAAAGAGAGUCAAAUUAUUGGAUUCUUGCUUUAAAUACAUUUAUAAAAAUUAU